Molecule: non-coding RNA, 923 nt
Organism: Prunus avium (sweet cherry)
Lineage: Eukaryota; Viridiplantae; Streptophyta; Magnoliopsida; Rosales; Rosaceae
Source: RefSeq, a predicted model, not a curated record
AGAGAAAGACUCAAUGAAAAUAUCAGAAGAAUAUUUCUAUCACUAUUUGAAUUCUCUAAAUUCUCUGCUCAAUCUCUUUAGUUUUAUAACACGUUAUCAGCACGAAUAUCUCUAAAAUACCAGCUGGGAUAUUCGAUCGAAACACUCUGCUUCAUUGCUUUUCUUUCUUGGGUUUGAUUGAGUUCCUCAUGCUCUUCUGUGUAUCAAUAUAGCUUCUGUGUCACUCUAUAGCUUCAAAACACAAACCCAACAAAACAAGUUCUUAAGGAAGAUCAGACCAGUCAGCCCCCAUCAAGUACAAGUUGGCUUCAAAUCAAGCUGAUUUCUUUUUGCUCUACAAUUCACUCUUCUGUGGUUGAGUCAUUCCCAAAGUACAAAGUCAGUUGCUUUGAUCAGCAAAUUAACAAAACCAGAAGCUCAACGCGGGGCAGUGAAGGGAAAAAGCAAGCAGCGAGCACGUCAAAACCUCACCAAGGCUGCCUUAUCUUGUGCCUUGGAGGAACUCAGAGAGCUUUGACUCCAUUUUUGACCCAUCAAGCAAAUAAGCGAGCCUGAAAAACAAAGAGGGUCCGCAGCCAGCAAUCCAAGCAGAUAAAGGGCUACGGCACAAAAAGAAGGAAAAAGAAUUCUUGAUGACUAUCUAGAGUGCUUCAGUCUUCAUCCCUGGGAAUGGAUCAGAAACCUGAAUCGAGCAAAGUACGCGUUACUGGGGCAUCUGGCUUUCAGGCAUCUUGGCUUAUAAUAAAUGACUUCUGGCUAUCAUGUAACUGGAACGGUUAGAGGCUGAAGGAGAGAAAAGAUCAGACCCACAAAACAUGAUAAGAUGAUCUCUGCCUUUUUAUCUUCUCCUUUAAUUUUAUUAAUAUUAUUAAAACCCUACAAGAACAGCACCCACCGAAAUGAUGAGCUUCCCAUCAUCUUUU